RNAcentral lists this ribosomal RNA (429 nucleotides) under Actinomycetes bacterium. Its description in RNAcentral is "Actinobacteria bacterium partial 16S ribosomal RNA". It matches the Rfam family "Bacterial small subunit ribosomal RNA", at positions 355 to 776 of the family's 1533-position model. The record is from RNAcentral. Lineage: Bacteria; Bacillati; Actinomycetota; Actinomycetes.
UAGGGAAUCUUCCGCAAUGGGCGAAAGCCUGACGGAGCAACACCGCGUGAGUGAUGAAGGUCUUCGGAUCGUAAAACUCUGUUAUUAGGGAAGAACAAAUGUGUAAGUAACUAUGCACGUCUUGACGGUACCUAAUCAGAAAGCCACGGCUAACUACGUGCCAGCAGCCGCGGUAAUACGUAGGUGGCAAGCGUUAUCCGGAAUUAUUGGGCGUAAAGCGCGCGUAGGCGGUUUUUUAAGUCUGAUGUGAAAGCCCACGGCUCAACCGUGGAGGGUCAGUGGAAACUGGAAAACUUGAGUGCAGAAGAGGAAAGUGGAAUUCCAUGUGUAGCGGUGAAAUGCGCAGAGAUAUGGAGGAACACCAGUGGCGAAGGCGACUUUCUGGUCUGUAACUGACGCUGAUGUGCGAAAGCGUGGGGAUCAAACAGG